CGAUUGACGUGCGGCAGCCAUUUCGCGAGCGUUGGUUUACCGGUGGUCUGACCGCCGAUUCUGGAGUGUAGGGUGACUCCACCGCUCGGUGUUUUGCACUUGUAUUAACCACAUCCGCACUUUGGCCAUCGCCACUUGGCACACGGACGGUAAUAAAUGUUUUUAGUGAUACUUCAUACGCCCUCUUCAGCUUGGAAGAUUUGGAACUGGCUGUACGUCCUAGCUAUUGCCCUUUUAUUGCAUACUUUUUCUCCCCGAGUGGAUUUGUGGCUGCAUUUUUAAAUGCGAGGAACCAAAAUGCCCAUCAUUGAAUCAUGCUACGAGGAAGGUCAUGGACCAGAGGACUCUGAAAAUAAUGCAGAGCUGCAGCAACACAGAGUCCUGUGUGCCUACCCCUGUCAUCGGCAGCCCCCACACUAAUAUAGAGUUGAGGAAGAGUUUCCCAAAGGAAUCUGAAGAAAGAAGAGUAAACCUGGGCCCACAGCAAAGGAUGGGGAAAGCUAUGUAAACAAGGAGCUACAAUUCCUUCAAUCCCCAGCCAGCUUACACUUGACAGGAAGAUAAUAAGCAACUACAUUUUCUCCAUGCAAAAACCCUUCCAGGUUGUGAGUGCCAUAAAUAUAACGGAUUGUACUGUACUCAUCACUAGUAUGACGGCAUCUCCCUCUCUCCAUAGGAUCUCAAUGAGGUCAAAAUGGAGUGGACCCACUUCUCCCUAUUCCUCCUACUAAAUACAGCAAAAACUCCUAUACAUUAUAUAGAAAAUAAAUAUAAGGAGACUGAAAGGCGCAGACAAGAAGGCAGACCAGCUAGGGACCUUGGGACUGAGGAAUGAUGCUGUGAAAGUACAUAAGGGCACUUUCGCCACACCAGCCUACUGAAGCCACUGUCCCUCUGGCCUGCUGCUGCAGUAUCCCCCCUAUGUAACCUCCUGCCAUCAGCUCCUACUCCCUCCAAUCCAUUCUCCACUGAAUGGCUGGAAUGCAGUUUUGGUGAUUUUUUUUUUUAACUGUAAAAAGUACAUGAAGUAAAACUACCAUUUUAACCGUU
Molecule: long non-coding RNA, 1050 nt
Organism: Leopardus geoffroyi (Geoffroy's cat)
Lineage: Eukaryota; Metazoa; Chordata; Mammalia; Carnivora; Felidae
Exons: 7
Source: RefSeq, a predicted model, not a curated record